CCUACGGGAGGCAGCAGUGAGGAAUAUUGGUCAAUGGGCGCGAGCCUGAACCAGCCAAGUCGCGUGAGGGAAGACGGUCCUAUGGAUUGUAAACCUCUUUUGUCGGGGAGCAAAAGACGCCACGCGUGGCGUUCCGAGAGUACCCGACGAAAAAGCAUCGGCUAACUCCGUGCCAGCAGCCGCGGUAAUACGGAGGAUGCGAGCGUUAUCCGGAUUUAUUGGGUUUAAAGGGUGCGCAGGCGGAAGAUCAAGUCAGCGGUAAAAUUGAGGGGCUCAACCUCUUCGAGCCGUUGAAACUGGUUGUCGUGAGGGAGCGAGAAGGAUGCGGAAAGCGUGGUGUAGCGGGGAAAUGCAUA
This 356-nucleotide ribosomal RNA is filed under the name uncultured bacterium. RNAcentral describes it as "partial 16S ribosomal RNA". It matches the Rfam family "Bacterial small subunit ribosomal RNA", at positions 338 to 692 of the family's 1533-position model. The record is from RNAcentral.